AGCGUUGUCCGGAUUAUUGGGCGUAAAGCGCGCGCAGGCGGAUUGGUCAGUCUGUCUUAAAAGUUCGGGGCUUAACCCCGUGAUGGGAUGGAAACUGCCAAUCUAGAGUAUCGGAGAGGAAAGUGGAAUUCCUAGUGUAGCGGUGAAAUGCGUAGAUAUUAGGAAGAACACCAGUGGCGAAGGCGACUUUCUGGACGAAAACUGACGCUGAGGCGCGAAAGCCAGGGGAGCGAACGGGAUUAGAUACCCCGGUAGUCCUGGCCGUAAACGAUGGGUACUAGGUGUAGGAGGUAUCGACCCCUUCUGUGCCGGAGUUAACGCAAUAAGUACCCCGCCUGGGGAGUACGACCGCAAGGUUGAAACCCAAAGGAAUUGACGGGGGCCCGCACAAGCGGUGGAGUAUGUGGUUUAAUUCGACGCAACGCGAAGAACCUUACCAGGUCUUGACAUUGAUGGACAGAACUAGAGAUAGUUCCUCUUCUUCGGAAGCCAGAAAACAGGUGGUGCACGGUUGUCGUCAGCUCGUGUCGUG
RNAcentral lists this ribosomal RNA (532 nucleotides) under uncultured bacterium. RNAcentral describes it as "bacterial SSU rRNA". It matches the Rfam family "Bacterial small subunit ribosomal RNA", at positions 537 to 1069 of the family's 1533-position model. The record is from RNAcentral.